RNAcentral lists this ribosomal RNA (1343 nucleotides) under uncultured bacterium. Its description in RNAcentral is "16S ribosomal RNA". It matches the Rfam family "Bacterial small subunit ribosomal RNA", at positions 28 to 1378 of the family's 1533-position model. The record is from RNAcentral.
GACGAACGCUGGCGGCGUGCUUAACACAUGCAAGUCGAACGGAAAGGCCCUGCUUUUGUGGGGUGCUCGAGUGGCGAACGGGUGAGUAACACGUGAGUAACCUGCCCUUGACUUUGGGAUAACUUCAGGAAACUGGGGCUAAUACCGGAUAGGAGCUCCUGCUGCAUGGUGGGGGUUGGAAAGUUUCGGCGGUUGGGGAUGGACUCGCGGCUUAUCAGCUUGUUGGUGGGGUAGUGGCUUACCAAGGCUUUGACGGGUAGCCGGCCUGAGAGGGUGACCGGCCACAUUGGGACUGAGAUACGGCCCAGACUCCUAGGGGAGGCAGCAGUGGGGAAUAUUGCACAAUGGGCGGAAGCCUGAUGCAGCAACGCCGCGUGCGGGAUGACGGCCUUCGGGUUGUAAACCGCUUUCGCCUGUGACGAAGCGUGAGUGACGGUAAUGGGUAAAGAAGCACCGGCUAACUACGUGCCAGCAGCCGCGGUGAUACGUAGGGUGCGAGCGUUGUCCGGAUUUAUUGGGCGUAAAGGGCUCGUAGGUGGUUGAUCGCGUCGGAAGUGUAAUCUUGGGGCUUAACCCUGAGCGUGCUUUCGAUACGGGUUGACUUGAGGAAGGUAGGGGAGAAUGGAAUUCCUGGUGGAGCGGUGGAAUGCGCAGAUAUCAGGAGGAACACCAGUGGCGAAGGCGGUUCUCUGGGCCUUUCCUGACGCUGAGGAGCGAAAGCGUGGGGAGCGAACAGGCUUAGAUACCCUGGUAGUCCACGCUGUAAACGGUGGGUACUAGGUGUGGGGUCCAUUCCACGGGUUCCGUGCCGUAGCUAACGCUUUAAGUACCCCGCCUGGGGAGUACGGCCGCAAGGCUAAAACUCAAAGGAAUUGACGGGGCCCCGCACAAGCGGCGGAGCAUGCGGAUUAAUUCGAUGCAACGCGUAGAACCUUACCUGGGUUUGACAUGGAUCGGGAGUGCUCAGAGAUGGGUGUGCCUCUUUUGGGGUCGGUUCACAGGUGGUGCAUGGCUGUCGUCAGCUCGUGUCGUGAGAUGUUGGGUUAAGUCCCGCAACGAGCGCAACCCUUGUUCACUGUUGCCAGCACGUUAUGGUGGGGACUCAGUGGAGACCGCCGGGGUCAACUCGGAGGAAGGUGGGGAUGACGUCAAGUCAUCAUGCCCCUUAUGUCCAGGGCUUCACGCAUGCUACAAUGGCUGGUACAGAGAGUGGCGAGCCUGUGAGGGUGAGCGAAUCUCGGAAAGCCGGUCUCAGUUCGGAUUGGGGUCUGCAACUCGACCUCAUGAAGUCGGAGUCGCUAGUAAUCGCAGAUCAGCAACGCUGCGGUGAAUACGUUCCCGGG